UAUAAAACAGCUUCCAUUUGCAAUUGAUUAUUUCCAAAUGAUCAAAUUCUGGGUCUGGCAAGUUAAAAAAGAGACAUUUUCUAACUAGUCACUACAGGAACUUUGAUAUUCAAAGACAAAUUGCAUAUUGCUGUUAUCAAACAGUUCACUGUACUCCUCAGAUCUAUUGCACAAACAAAAUAUCCGUUUAGCAUGUUCAACACUUCUGAUAAGCUGCAAUUUUAUUUUAAUUUUGUUAAGACCCCUUGAUUUAUGAAUUAAAUUAAACUAUCGAAGCUUUAUAAUAAAAGACUUAUGAAUCUUUAUUCUUAUUAGAAUUCUUUACAGAAUUACACUGGUAUUGGAUACUGUAGUCGAUCAGAAUUUUGUUAAGAAUUACAUUCAAUUUGGUAUUUGAUGCGACCGUCUUGUUAGAACUCUGUAAAGAAUUACAUUGGUUUUGUAUGUUGUAGUCUUAUCAGAAUUCUGUUAAAAUUACAUUCAAUUCCGUAUUUGAUGCGACCAUCUUAUCAGAAUUCUGUUAAGAUUUGCAUUGCAUGGAACUGGAUGCUAUAGUCUUGUCAGAUUUCUGAUAAGAAUUGAAUUGUUAUAAGAUGCUAUAGUCUUAUCAGAAUUUUGUUAAGAAUUAUAUUGGUAUUAGAUGCUAUAGUCCUAUAUAUCAGAAUUCUUGUAAGAAUUAUAUUGGUAUUAGAUGCUAUAGUCCUAUAUAUCAGAAUUCUUUUAAGAAUUAUAUUGGUAUUAGAUGCUAUAGUCCUAUCAGAAUUCCUGUUAAGAAUUAUAUUGGUAUUAGAUGCUAUAGUCUUAUCAGAAUUCUGUUAAGAAUUAUAUUGGUAUUAGAUGCUAUAUAGUCUUAUCAGAAUUCUGUUAAGAAUUAUAAGGUAGAAUUAUAUUGGUAUUAGACACUAGUAUAGUCUUGUCAGAAUUCUGUUAAGAAUUGUAUUGGUAUUGGAUGCUAUAGUCUUAUCAGAAUUCUGUUAAGAAUU
This 983-nucleotide long non-coding RNA is filed under the name Mytilus galloprovincialis (Mediterranean mussel). Lineage: Eukaryota; Metazoa; Mollusca; Bivalvia; Mytilida; Mytilidae. The record is from RNAcentral.